This 956-nucleotide long non-coding RNA is filed under the name Homo sapiens (human). RNAcentral describes it as "novel transcript". The record is from RNAcentral. Lineage: Eukaryota; Metazoa; Chordata; Mammalia; Primates; Hominidae.
GAAGGAGACCGGCACCCAGACAGGUGGCGACGGCAGAGGAAUCCUUCUUAGAAAUUCCUAAGGCUCAAUGCUGUGUGGAAGAUUCUGAGAAAAAAAAUAGUUUCCGAUCUUUGGGAUUCCCGAGAUGGUCCAAUCUGCAAAAAGUUCAUUGCCAUUUCCAUCAAGGACACUGAGAACAAGAGUCUUAUCUGGAUUAGAUCCUGGGAAUUGAGAAGCUUCAGCAGGGCUUCCGCUGGGACUAGGAUCAGGAUGUGGACACCCCCAACCUGGACCGUCUGGCCGGGGAGGGCGUCAAGGCCAAGUACCUCAUGCCGCCCCUUGUCACAAUGACCUCCCCAUCCCACUUCACUGCCAUCCCAGGUGAUCGAGUGUGGAUCAAGAACUGGAACGUAGCCUCUUUGUGUCCACUGUGGAAAGGACCCCAGACUGUCGUUCUGAGCCCUCCCACCGCUGUGAAGGUAGAAGGAAUCCCAGCCUGGAUCCACCACAGCCAUGUAAAACCUGCAGCGCGUGAAACCUGGGAGGCAAGACCAAGCCCAGACAACCCUUUCAGAGUGACCCUGAAGAAGACGACAAGCCCUGCUCCAGUCACACCCGGAAGCUGACUGGUCCACGCACGGCCGAAGCCUGAGGAAGCUCAUCGUGAGAUUCAUUUUUCUUAAAUUUUGGACUUAUACAGUAAGGGCUUCAACUGAUCUUACUCAAACUGGGGACUGUUCCCAGUGUAUUCAUCAGGUCACCGAAGUAGGACAGCAAAUUAAAACAAUCUUUCUGUUCUAUAGUUAUUAUGAAUGUGUGGAAACAAUAAAAGAAACUUGUUUGUAUAAUGCCACUCAGUGCAAGGUAUGUAGCCCGAGAAAUGACCGACCUGAUGCGUGUUAUAACCCAUCUGAGCCCUCCGCAACCACCGUUUUUGAAAUAAGAAUAAGAACUGGCCUUUUCCUAGGUGAUACAAG